UAUUUUUUGCGCCUUUGCUUUGGCGCGGUGCGUGCCUUGCCUUGCACCUUGUCCCUUGGGUGCAAAAUGCCCUUUGUGCUUUUAAAACACUGUUUGGGGUCUGCUACACCAAUCUUGUUUGACAGUUUUGCUCUUUCAAGAGCCAUAUUUCUAUCAAUUACAUGUUCUUAGAUCAUUUCUUAUCCCUUCUGUCAUUUAUAGAUCCGGCCCAAUCAACAUCAGUACACCUCUAUUCUCAAAUGGCCAUGGCUAGAGAACAAUAUAUCUCGACCUGGCUGCCCUUUAAGGUAGUGCAAGAUUUCUCUCUUCUGCUUCAGCAUGUGUUUCUUUUGACGAGUGCAUAUACUGGCUUGUGACACUGAUACAUGAGAAAUGCCUAGAUGAAUUAUGCACAAGUUGAACAAUCUCUCAACUAAUCAUUCCUUGUCUUCAAGAAGCUGUCCUUUAGUAGCCGUCACCCUUUUAUUAGUAUCUAUUAGGUGUUCAACAGGUUUAACACCCAGCUUUCCUGUAUCCUGUAGUAUGUCUAUUACAUAUUUCCUCUAAGAGAUGAAUUACCAUAUUGAGUCCUAAAACUUCGCUAAGGAAAUAUCUGAAAUCGCCUAGGCUUUUGUUUCAAACUUUUUGCUGCGAAACUGUUUUAACUGUUGAAUUCUAGCCGCAUCAUUCCCUGUCACCACAACAUCUUAACAUAAACUAUGAGAGCAGUAAGCAAGGAGCCCUUAUAAUAAAUGAAGUGUGGUUAGGCUAAGCCUAUAGAAAACCAUACAUGCCAGAUCACUCCAAAAUCCGACAAGCCAGAGUCCAAGUGACUUCUUGAGUCCAUACAAGGACUGCUGAAGCCUACAAACUCUACCUCUUCUCAUCAGUAGUACAAAUACCGGAAAGAAGAUUCAUGUACACUUUAUUUAAGUAAUUUAAUAAAGCAUUAUUCACAUCCUACUGAUAUCAUGCCCAUGAAUAAGAUGCUGUCAAGUAUCUUAUUAGCUGUGGUCCAUGGGUUAUGGAGACACUACAAGGGCUGAGAUAUUAGCUGUGGUACAAGGACUACAGAUUUCCAACCAACUUGGAGUGACUAAUUUGAUAGUUGAAGGAGACUCUAAGGUGAUAGUGCAUAGUGGGAUGGAUGUCAGACCCAGAAACUGUUGUUUGGGGAUAUAGGGACGUCAUCAAAAAAGUCAAAUGGCUUACGAGAACCAUGUCAGUUAGCUUUCAGUGGGUUAGUAGAUCAGCAAAUGCUUUGGCAGAUUCUUUAGCUUUCAAGGGGCUUCAAGGGAUUCUCUGUUUUUGGAUAAUUUGUAACUGCAAUCUGAAAAGAGUUGGGUUUGGAACCACCUUUAAGGGGAGGUAACACCUCGUGCCUCCUCUUAGGGUGCUUCAUGCUUGUACUAUUUCUAUCUCUAUUUAAUAGACUACUAUUCAUUCAUAAAAAAAAAAGAUGCUGCCAAGUACAUUAGAUUAGAACACUAAUGGAGUUCAUCUUUUCCAUUGGUUCCAAGUAAUCAAUCCUUUAUCCAUUGUAAAAAAACCAUAUAUCCACAACAUAUCUGGCUUUUGGUUUCUAGUUCUUUUAAAAGGAUGGUCAACUAUGAUAGUGGCUUCUCUACACAUAUUUUAUACUUUAUAUAUAUCCUGAUAUAAUCUCUGGAUUUACAUCAUGUAGUCCUCUCUGAUUAAUAGUAAAUACUAACAGUCUUUGAAAGGUCCAUUGCUAUAAACCAUUAUAGUUUAGGGGUAUGCUUAAUUAUAUGUUUCAGUAUUUAUUCUUCAGGCCUUACUGUACUUCACUAGUUUCUGCUUCAGCAUUGGUUCUCCUUCCAGCUUGCAUUCUGAACUCAUCCACUACUCCUUGGUGUUGUGUCAGAUUCUUCAAUUUUUAGUGUAAAUUUGAUAUCCAAUAAUUUGUGCAGCAAUAUCCUUACUAUAUCUGGGUAGCAUUGCUCUCAAAACUCUUGCACCAACUUGUGAUGGCGACCUAUAAACUGAUUCAUCAAUACUAAGUUUCAACCUGACCGCCCAAUGAGGAGUUUGGCUCUUAAGUUUUGGGCAUACCUGCUCACUUUAGAUUUUUCAAAUAUAUUUAACUAACUUUAUAGCCUUACACAUGAUUUGUUGAGAUUUUCUUAUAGGAUCUGGUUAUUGGUGGUUGUUGUUUAAAACACAAGUUAUUCCAAUCUUUUGAAACCUUCCAAGUGCCUACAAUAUGGCCCAGCAGGUGAAGGAGAUUCACUAAGAGCGGAAGUAAUGGCAGUUAUGGAAGUGGUGCCAAGGGCUAGAACCAUGAAUGCUAGAAAGCUAAUCAUUGAAGGGGAUUCCAAACUGGUAGUGGAUUGGCUACUGGAUGAGGAAAGUAGGAUGUGGAAAUAUAAUAAUGAGAAGAAAAAUUCAGAUGGAUCACAAAGGACAUGGAACUGAGAAUACAGUGGGUGAAAAGAACAGCUAAUUCAAUGGCUGCUGCGCUAGCCAAGCAAGGGGUCGGGAGAAUUCAAACAUUUUGGGCACAAAUGUAAUUGUAAUUAUAACUAAAGUUAAAGGGGAGAGAUAAGAGAGCUUGUCUCUCUCUCACUUUCUCUUGUACGCUUUCCUUUAAAUUCAAUGAAGUAAUCAGUUAUUCAUAAAAAAAAAA
Non-coding RNA from Nelumbo nucifera (sacred lotus), 2626 nucleotides. The record is from RefSeq and is a predicted model, not a curated record. NCBI's taxonomy places the organism in Eukaryota, Viridiplantae, Streptophyta, Magnoliopsida, Proteales, Nelumbonaceae.